UCCAAGAGACUUCAGGCCAGACCUGUCUUUGCUAUGACUUGAUUUACUUCAUUUUGCAUGCACUAGGGGAAGUUUAAACCUCAGGUGGCAAAAUGCUAAAGUAUGAAACUCUGAAACAGAAUCUGCUAUGAGGAAAACAAAUGGAUAUUCUGCUGCCCUUUGCUCGUUGGGACUUUCUAGUGGAGUUCCAGCAAAGCAGUUUACCCUCUGAGGCCCUCGCUGUCAGCUCCACGCUCAUACAUCCAUGCCCUGCUGUCGAGCCUGACAGCCGUCUAUUGUUCAUUCACUGCUUCCACCUCGCCACUUAAUAUUAUUGCGAUAAGGAAACCCUCGUGUCUCGACCCACUGGCGUCUGGCUAAUCCGAUGGUAUUUGUCGCCGCAUUGUCCGUGAUCAAUAACUAAUUAUCAAAGUGGCAUUUCUUUUCAAGAGCUCCUUGUUAAAAAAUGGCUUUUGGCUGAGAGUGGAGGAAAAAGGUCGCCACUUUGACAUCAUUGCAAGUCUUUCAAAAUCCAGUGGGCCGUCCGAUUGAAUUACUGUCCCAAACUAAUUGAUAUAAAUUUGAACAGAAGAAUGCUUGUUACUACAGAAUGUCAUAAUGAUAUCCUUGGCAAGAGCAUGUCAGUGGGAAAAAAAAAGAGAAAAGACCAGCACUAGUCACAAAGCAUUGAGACAAGUUGCAGCACAAGACUAUUAACAAAAUUAACAGGAACAAAAUUGUACACCACUUCCUUCUUCCCAGCCAGUCUGAUCAGGCGUUCAAGAAAGAAAAGCAGUAACAUACCUUAUAGUUUACUUCAAAACAGCUUUAAAACAAUCUACUGGAAAGGGUAAUUGUGAUGUACAAAGGACUGAAACUUGAUGAUGAGUUGCAGAAGUCUCCUUGGCUCUACUGGGAUCAUGAGUGCACAUCCAUUGGAAUUCAGCUUUAGUUGUAAGGCAGAAUCUGGCAGACAGUUUCCUUAAGGAAGGUUUCUAUGCAGCUUUAAAAACCCAUGCCUUUGAAAUAUGGUGACCUUCUCUAGAGAAAGUUGGACUGUAUAAGCCACAUACCUUUGAACUGGGAAAAAAACCCUAAUAGUUAAGAUAUAUGGUAAGAGGAGUCAUAAAAAUGCGGUGAGAAUGCGAAGAAGAUCUUGCAGUAUUCAUGCCUGAGAUUUGAUGUAUUGUCUUGCAUGUCGUUUGGAGGUUGCCUGCCAUGGAAACCUAUAUUUUCAUUGCAAGGCAUCUGGGCUUGUGUAUG
Pezoporus occidentalis (night parrot) is the source of this 1242-nucleotide long non-coding RNA. RefSeq lists it as uncharacterized. Lineage: Eukaryota; Metazoa; Chordata; Aves; Psittaciformes; Psittacidae. The record is from RefSeq and is a predicted model, not a curated record. The transcript is spliced from 3 exons.